UCUUUGGGGCCAGCUCGAUCUUCUUUGG
RNAcentral lists this non-coding RNA (28 nucleotides) under Mus musculus (house mouse). The record is from RNAcentral. Lineage: Eukaryota; Metazoa; Chordata; Mammalia; Rodentia; Muridae.